AAAUUUUUCUUGUGUCCCCCCCCCUUCAAAACAGGGUUUCUAUAGACCUGGCUGACCUUGAACUCAGAAAUCUGACUUCCUCUGCCUCAAGUGCUGGGAUGAAAGGCGUUCACCACCACUCCCAGCUUUGACCAUAAUGGCUGCAAGAAAGAAUUUGAUGAUGUAGCCAGGGUUACAGUUCAACUGUGAACAGUUGAGUGGACUGUGCAGGGUGCAGGCUUACAAACAACACUAUAAGCAGUUCUCCACUGUCAGAUUUAAGCGUUUGAAAAUAAAGGAGAAGGAGAAGCGGAGAAAAUUGCUUGAAAAGAGCAACCCAGAUCAUUCUAAGUCCAGCAGGGCAGCAGCUUCCGAGAAGCUCAAACAGUUGACCAAAACAGGCAAAGUGUCCUUGUUAAAGGAUGAACGAAAAGAUAAGCCCUUAAAGUCAUCUCAGGCAUUCUUUUCUAAAUUGCAAGAUCAAGUAAAAAUGCAGAUUAAUGAUGCAAAGCAACCUGGAAAGAUAAAGAAGAAAAAACAGGACAUUUCUGUUCAUAAAUUAAAGCUGUAACAUAUUUAAAAUUAUUGUAUAAAUCUGUAAGUUUCUCUCUUUAUUCUGUUUUGUAAUAAAAUUCCUGAGACCUUAGUUUGCUUCAUGUUGUUUUAAUAAAGACCAUCACCAAAGCC
This 666-nucleotide long non-coding RNA is filed under the name Rattus norvegicus (Norway rat). RNAcentral's name for it is "long non-coding RNA NONRATT002737". Lineage: Eukaryota; Metazoa; Chordata; Mammalia; Rodentia; Muridae. The record is from RNAcentral.